UGCAAGUCGAACGGCAGCACGGACUUCGGUCUGGUGGCGAGUGGCGAACGGGUGAGUAAUGUAUCGGAACGUGCCUAGUAGCGGGGGAUAACUACGCGAAAGCGUAGCUAAUACCGCAUACGCCCUACGGGGGAAAGCAGGGGAUCGUAAGACCUUGCACUAUUAGAGCGGCCGAUAUCGGAUUAGCUAGUUGGUGGGGUAAUGGCUCACCAAGGCGACGAUCCGUAGCUGGUUUGAGAGGACGACCAGCCACACUGGGACUGAGACACGGCCCAGACUCCUACGGGAGGCAGCAGUGGGGAAUUUUGGACAAUGGGGGAAACCCUGAUCCAGCCAUCCCGCGUGUGCGAUGAAGGCCUUCGGGUUGUAAAGCACUUUUGGCAGGAAAGAAACGGCGCGUGAUAAUACCAUGCGCAACUGACGGUACCUGCAGAAUAAGCACCGGCUAACUACGUGCCAGCAGCCGCGGUAAUACGUAGGGUGCAAGCGUUAAUCGGAAUUACUGGGCGUAAAGCGUGCGCAGGCGGUUCGGAAAGAAAGAUGUGAAAUCCCAGGGCUCAACCUUGGAACUGCAUUUUUAACUACCGGACUAGAG
RNAcentral lists this ribosomal RNA (595 nucleotides) under Achromobacter sp. M68C1A. RNAcentral describes it as "bacterial SSU rRNA". It matches the Rfam family "Bacterial small subunit ribosomal RNA", at positions 56 to 646 of the family's 1533-position model. Lineage: Bacteria; Pseudomonadati; Pseudomonadota; Betaproteobacteria; Burkholderiales; Alcaligenaceae. The record is from RNAcentral.